UUGCCUUGCGGGAUACUCGCCGCGGUGUAUGAAAGGCUUCGAUUUCACGACGAAGCAUGCCCCUCCGCUGAAUCCUCCAUUAGGGUUCAACUGAACGUACCAUGAGACCUUUGCAUCUAGUCUUUGCGUUGGCCUUCUAUGGCCUGCUGGUGUCAGGCAAUGCGCUGGAAUCUGGAGAUGGACCACAUGGAAACCCUCAAGAUCAGGAGUUAAUUAAAUUGGUAGACUUGCAAGAUCCCAUUGGAUGGAGACACCAGCAAAGAAGAGAGCUCAAUGAACAAGGCCGCAAGUCGAAGGUCCCAUAUAGAGCAGGCAGUUACCACUCACAACAUUCAUUCCAUAGUGAGCUUUCCUACCAAGAAAGCUUUCGUAACCGGACCUCCUAGCAUGAGCAAUAAUGAUUAAUGUCGGAAGUCCCCAGUUUGGUGAACUAGGCUUGCUAUUUAAGCUGUAGCCAGGUGUAGCACGUUUUCCAGCGAUGCUACACAGCGUAUUCACUAUUCCUAGGAAAAGAUCCAGGAAACAUGCGAUAUCCUGUGCUGAAAACAAAGAAAACAUUGCAAGCAUGAA
Long non-coding RNA from Dermacentor albipictus, 570 nucleotides. RefSeq lists it as uncharacterized. NCBI's taxonomy places the organism in Eukaryota, Metazoa, Arthropoda, Arachnida, Ixodida, Ixodidae. The record is from RefSeq and is a predicted model, not a curated record.